UACAGAGGGGGCAAGCGUUGUUCGGAAUUACUGGGCGUAAAGGGCGCGUAGGCGGCCUGCUAAGUCGGACGUGAAAUCCCUCGGCUCAACCGGGGAACUGCGUCCGAUACUGGCGAGGCUUGAAUCCGGGAGAGGGAUGUGGAAUUCCAGGUGUAGCGGUGAAAUUCGUAGAUAUUCGCAAGAACACCAGUGGCGAAGGCGGCUCACUGGCCCGUAACUGACGCUGAGGCACGAAAGCGUGGGGAGCAAACAGG
This 254-nucleotide ribosomal RNA is filed under the name uncultured bacterium. RNAcentral describes it as "partial 16S ribosomal RNA". It matches the Rfam family "Bacterial small subunit ribosomal RNA", at positions 524 to 776 of the family's 1533-position model. The record is from RNAcentral.